AAUCAACGCUGGCGGCGUGCCUAACACAUGCAAGUCGAACGAGAAAGUGGAGCAAUCCAUGAGUAAAGUGGCGCACGGGUGAGUAACACGUGACUAACCUACCCUUGAGUGGGGGAUAACCUAGGGAAACCUGGGCUAAUACCGCAUAAUAUCGAGAGAUCAAAGGAGCAAUUCGCUUAAGGAGGGGGUCGCGGCUGAUUAGCUAGUUGGUGGGGUAAUGGCCCACCAAGGCUGNGAUCAGUAUCCGGCCUGAGAGGGCGCACGGACACACUGGAACUGAAACACGGUCCAGACUCCUACGGGAGGCAGCAGUGGGGAAUUUUGCGCAAUGGGGGAAACCCUGACGCAGCAACGCCGCGUGGAGGAUGAAGUCCCUUGGGACGUAAACUCCUUUCGAUCGGGACGAUAAUGACGGUACCGAGAGAAGAAGCCCCGCUAACUUCGUGCCAGCAGCCGCCGUAAG
This 463-nucleotide ribosomal RNA is filed under the name uncultured bacterium. Its description in RNAcentral is "bacterial SSU rRNA". It matches the Rfam family "Bacterial small subunit ribosomal RNA", at positions 32 to 524 of the family's 1533-position model. The record is from RNAcentral.